GGAAAUGAAGUGAAAGAUGGGAAAAGGAAGGCAAAAAGGUAAAGGAAGUUUUGAACUGCUCCGUCUCCCUUUAAAAGAAUAAAGGCAUGUGUGGGAUAGUGAAGAGCGGCAAUGCGUUCGUUUUAGGCAGUCGUUAAUGCAGUACGCGGCAAGUACGCUUAUGCAUCGAGAAUAUGGGAAAUGCCGUACUAAAUCGGAUUGGCGUAACGUAACUUAACUCGAUCAAGAAUGAGUCGAAUGCUUUGUGAUG
This is a non-coding RNA of Caenorhabditis elegans, 250 nucleotides long. NCBI's taxonomy places the organism in Eukaryota, Metazoa, Nematoda, Chromadorea, Rhabditida, Rhabditidae. The record is from Ensembl.